GACGAACGCUGGCGGCGUGCUUAACACAUGCAAGUCGAACGGAAAGGCCCUGCUUUUGUGGGGUGCUCGAGUGGCGAACGGGUGAGUAACACGUGAGUAACCUGCCCUUGACUUUGGGAUAACUUCAGGAAACUGGGGCUAAUACCGGAUAGGAGCUCCUGCUGCAUGGUGGGGUUUGGAAAGUUUCGGCGGUUGGGGAUGGACUCGCGGCUUAUCAGCUUGUUGGUGGGGUAGUGGCUUACCAAGGCUUUGACGGGUAGCCGGCCUGAGAGGGUGACCGGGCACAUUGGGACUGAGAGAGGGCCCAGAAUGCUACGGGAGGCAGCAGGGGGGAAUAUGGCACAAUGGGCGGAAGCCUGAUGCAGAAACGCCGCGUGCGGGAUGACGGGCUUCGGGUUGUAAACCGCUUUCGCCUGUGACGAAGCGGGAGUGACGGUAAUGGGUAAAGAAGCACCGGCUAACUACGUG
This 468-nucleotide ribosomal RNA is filed under the name uncultured bacterium. RNAcentral describes it as "partial 16S ribosomal RNA". It matches the Rfam family "Bacterial small subunit ribosomal RNA", at positions 28 to 507 of the family's 1533-position model. The record is from RNAcentral.